Molecule: ribosomal RNA, 253 nt
Filed under: uncultured bacterium
Lineage: Bacteria
Description: partial 16S ribosomal RNA
Rfam family: Bacterial small subunit ribosomal RNA
Source: RNAcentral
UACGUAGGGUGCAAGCGUUAAUCGGAAUUACUGGGCGUAAAGCGUGUGCAGGCGGUGCUGUAAGACAGGCGUGAAAUCCCCGGGCUUAACCUGGGAAUGGCGCUUGUGACUGCAGUGCUGGAGUGCGGCAGAGGGGGAUGGAAUUCCGCGUGUAGCAGUGAAAUGCGUAGAUAUGCGGAGGAACACCGAUGGCGAAGGCAAUCCCCUGGGCCUGCACUGACGCUCAUGCACGAAAGCGUGGGGAGCAAACAGG